UCAAUCAUCUUCCCGCGCAGCCCCUUCUCUGUUUUCUGUGCUCCUCCGAGCUCGCUGUUUGUCCAGGUUUUUUACGUUUUAAUUUCCAGGACUUGAACUGCCAUGUCCUCUGAAGAAGGAAAGCUCUUCGUGGGAGGGCUCAACUUUAACACCGACGAGCAGGCACUGGAAGACCACUUCAGCAGUUUCAGACCUAUCUCUGAGGUCGUCGUUGUCAAGGACCGGGAGACUCAGCAGUCCAGGGGUUUUGGUUUCAUCACCUUCACCAACCCAGAGCCUGCUUCAGUUGCCAUGAGAGCCAUGAACGGAGAGUCUCUGGAUGGUCGUCAGAUCCGUGUGGAUCAUGCAGGCAAGUCUGCUCGGGGAACCAGAGGAGGUGGCUUUGGGGCCCAUGGGCGUGGUCGCAGCUACUCCAGAGGUGGUGGGGACCAGGGCUAUGGGAGUGGCAGGUAUUAUGACAGUCGACCUGGAGGGUAUGGAUAUGGAUAUGGACGUUCCAGAGACUAUAAUGGCAGAAACCAGGGUGGUUAUGACCACUACUCAGGAGGAAAUUACAGAGACAAUUAUGACAACUGAAAUGAGACAUGCACAUAAUGUAGAUACACAAGGAAUAAUUUCUGAUCCAGGAUCGUCCUUCCAAAUGGCUGUAUUUAUAAAGGUUUUUGGAGCUGCACUGAAGCAUCUUAUUUUAUAGUAUAUCAACCUUUUGUUUUUAAAUUGACCUUCCAAGGUAGCUGAAGACAUUUUAGACAGUUCCAUCUUUUUUUAAAUUUUUUCUGCCUAUUUAAAGACAAAUUAUGGGACGUUUGUAGAACCUGAGUAUUUUUCUUCUUACCAGUUUUUUAGUUUGAGCUCUUAGGAUUAUUGGAGCUAGCAAUAAUUGGUUCUGGCAAGUUUGGCCAGACUGACUUCAAAAAAUUAAUGUGUAACCAGGGACAUUUUAAAAACCUGUACACAGUGUUUAUUGUGGUUAGGAAGCAAUUUUCCAAAUGUACCUAUAAGAAAUGUGCAUCAAGCCAGCCUGACCAACAUGGUGAAACCCCAUCUGUACUAAACAUAAAAAAAUUAGCUGGGCGUGGUGGUGCAUGUCUGCAAUCCCAGCUACUCAGGAGGCUGAGGCAGGAGAAUCGCUUGAAGCCGGGAGGUGGAGGUUGCAGUGAGCCAAGAUCACGCCACUGUACUCCAGCCUGGGCAACAGCGAGACUCCAUCUCAAAAAAAAAGAAAAAAGGAAAUGUGUAUCAAGAACAUGAUUAUCCAGGGGUAUUUUCUAAUUCAGAUCAUCAAACUGAUUAUAUAGAAGAGUUGGCUUUAAAAUGUUUGCAAAUGUCUUUUUUUUUUUUAAUACUGGAAGAAAAAAUAUUCUGUUGUGUCUCAUACAGUGAUUAGGAUGUCUUUCACAGAGCUUAUUAAAAAGAUGAAACCUGAAAAACAAAACAAAACAAAACAAAAACAAAAAACAAAAA
Molecule: RNA transcript, 1464 nt
Organism: Nomascus leucogenys (northern white-cheeked gibbon)
Lineage: Eukaryota; Metazoa; Chordata; Mammalia; Primates; Hylobatidae
Gene name: RNA-binding protein 3 pseudogene
Exons: 1
Source: RefSeq, a predicted model, not a curated record